RNAcentral lists this long non-coding RNA (302 nucleotides) under Hordeum vulgare. Its description in RNAcentral is "long non-coding RNA (HVUL_LNC013561)". The record is from RNAcentral. Lineage: Eukaryota; Viridiplantae; Streptophyta; Magnoliopsida; Poales; Poaceae.
UAAAAUGUAGAGCUAUCAUUCGACAUGAUGGCAAUUUUGUGUAGGAUACUAGGAUCUCAUGGUAAAUUCACAUAGGCUGAUGUUUUUGGGUCAACGAAGCAGUUUCUUUAAACUAAUCAUUUCCAAAUCCUAAAACUUAAUUUGGGGUUGUGGCAAAAAUUGAUGACUAAGCUAUCUUUGCUAUUAGGUCCAUGUUUCCCAUGGACCCAUGCUUCACGUAGCAACAUUUUUGGAAUUCGUCCAACGACAAUUUUGUAGGGAAUGACAAUGAUUAAGCUAAUGGAGCAAGUCAACUUAAGUUC